This is a non-coding RNA of Lacerta agilis (Sand lizard), 73 nucleotides long. NCBI's taxonomy places the organism in Eukaryota, Metazoa, Chordata, Lepidosauria, Squamata, Lacertidae. The record is from the annotation of a RefSeq genome assembly.
GCUGGGAUAGCUCAGUUGGUAGAGUGUGAGACUCUUAAGCUCAGGGUCGUGGGUUCGAGCCCCGCGUUAGGCA